Alosa sapidissima (American shad) is the source of this 573-nucleotide long non-coding RNA. RefSeq lists it as uncharacterized. The transcript has 2 exons. NCBI's taxonomy places the organism in Eukaryota, Metazoa, Chordata, Actinopteri, Clupeiformes, Clupeidae. The record is from RefSeq and is a predicted model, not a curated record.
CACUGGAAUGUUCCUUUCUUCCUGUGUCACUGUGCUGUGGGGAGUAGUGAACGCUCUUGCAAAGGACCAGGCCAGCCACUGUUUUACUGUUAGUUUUUGGGUUUGUUUGUUUGCUUUCAUUUUGUUUGUCUUUUUGUUUGUUUGCAUUGUCUCUCUAUAACUGCUUGUGCUGGGAGCUGGCUGUUCCUCUUUUGUCCUAUCAUAGGCUGUCUUUGUACAAGGCCGGAUCCGCAACUCAGUACUGCUCCUUUCGGGUUGGGUGCCACAUGGAGGGAGAUAUUUUCUCGGUGUGUACUGGUAAACAACACAGUGUGGUAUUUUGUAGUGGCAUCCUGUAGUGGUAUUUACUUCUUGUGUUUGCAGUGCUUACCGUGUUGCAUUCUUUUGUGGUGCUGGGUUUGCUGUCUCUCUCUCUCCCUCUCUCACCAGGGCCCCUCUCCAAGACGGGAGCUGUGUGUGCUGACCCGACCUUAUUAGCCUGAGGAGUCUCAGCCAGUUAUCCCAUGCAGUCUUUCUUACUUACAUUCUGGAUUGUAUUUAUACUAUUUGUAAUAAAUUUGAGUAUUUCGCAUA